RNAcentral lists this long non-coding RNA (660 nucleotides) under Setaria italica (foxtail millet). Its description in RNAcentral is "long non-coding RNA (SITA_LNC000242)". Lineage: Eukaryota; Viridiplantae; Streptophyta; Magnoliopsida; Poales; Poaceae. The record is from RNAcentral.
AUUUAAAAAAAAACACGUGCAUGCCGCACGUGCACCCUAAGCUACUAACACACUAUUGGCCCUUUAGCCUUAUUUUAUUUAUAAGCUACCUACAACCACAGGCUUAUUUAUUAUUAACUAUGGCUUUUAUAGCCUUAUUUUUCUAGUGCUUCGCAAGCUUUAUUGGCAUUUAAGCUAAGCCUACACACACAAGCUACUAUGGCUUUUAUAUAGCCUUAUUUGUUUCUGGCUAAUUAUAGCCUUACAGGCUUAUUUAUUAUUAACUAUGGCUUUUAUAGCCUUAUUUUUCUAGUGCUUCGCAAGCUUUAUUGGCAUUUAAGCUAAGCCUACACACACAAGCUAACUAUGGCUUUUAUAUAGCCUUAUUUGUUUCUGGCUAAUUAUUAUUAACCUUAUUCCAUGGCUUCCAUGGCUUUGCGCGCCCUACGUGCGCGUACCUUGGCCAACAGCAAUGUUGGGAUCGGGGGCUGGCUCAGGUGUGGUGACAGCAAUGUUGGGAUCGGGGGCUGGCUCAGGUGUGUCGGAUUCAGCAACGUCACUCUUGACUCUCUUAUGAGAAUCCCAACGUGCAUCGGACCUCGACCCACCUCCAAGAGGGCGGGUGAAACCCCAGCGAGGCCUCUUACCUGAACCGACUGGACAAGGACCCAACAAGCCGGG